Rhinopithecus bieti (black snub-nosed monkey) is the source of this 100-nucleotide ribosomal RNA. The record is from Ensembl. Lineage: Eukaryota; Metazoa; Chordata; Mammalia; Primates; Cercopithecidae.
AUCUACUGUCAUACCACCCUAAUAUCAGAAGCUUAAGCAGGGUUGAGCCAGGUCAAUACUUGGAUGGGAGACUGCCAGGGAAUACCUGGGGUGAUAGGCU